AUUGAACGCUGGCGGCAGGCCUAACACAUGCAAGUCGAACGAGUUGAGGACGGGUGCGUAAUGUCUGGGAAACUGCCUGCUGGAGGGGGAUAACUACUGGGAACGGUCGCUAAUACCGCCUACCAUCGGAUGUGCCCAGAUGGGAGUAGCUCGUAGGUGGGGUAACGGCUCAACUAGGCGACGAUCCCUAGCUGGUCUGAGAGGAUGACCAGCAACACUGGAACUGAGACACGUUCCAGACUCCUACGGGAGGCAGCAGUGGGGAAUAUUGCACAAUGGGUGCAAGCCUGAUGCAGCCAUGCCGCGUGUAUGAAGAAGGCCUUCGGGUUGUAAAGUACUUUCAGCGGGGAGGCGUUACCCGCAGAAGAAGCACCGGCUAACUCCGUGCCAGCCGCCGCGGUAAUUC
RNAcentral lists this ribosomal RNA (406 nucleotides) under uncultured bacterium. RNAcentral describes it as "partial 16S ribosomal RNA". It matches the Rfam family "Bacterial small subunit ribosomal RNA", at positions 30 to 526 of the family's 1533-position model. The record is from RNAcentral.